This 426-nucleotide ribosomal RNA is filed under the name uncultured bacterium. RNAcentral's name for it is "bacterial SSU rRNA". It matches the Rfam family "Bacterial small subunit ribosomal RNA", at positions 354 to 796 of the family's 1533-position model. The record is from RNAcentral.
GUGAGGAAUUUUCCGCAAUGGGCGAAAGCCUGACGGAGCAAUGCCGCGUGACGGAUGAAGGCCUAUGGGUUGUAAACUUCUUUUCUCAGAAAAGAAUUAUGACGGUAUCUGAGGAAUAAGCAUCGGCUAACUCUGUGCCAGCAGCCGCGGUAAGACAGAGGAUGCAAGCGUUAUCCGGAAUGAUUGGGCGUAAAGCGUCUGUAGGUUGUUUAAAAAGUAUUCUGUCAAAGAUUAGGGCUUAACCCUAGAUAGGCAGAAUAAACUUUUAAGCUAGAGUUUGGUAGAGGCAGAGGGAAUUCCCGGUGGAGCGGUGAAAUGCGUAGAUAUCGGGAGGAACACCAAAGGCGAAGGCACUCUGCUGGGCCAAUACUAACACUGAGAGACGAAAGCGAGGGGAGCAAAUGGGAUUAGAUACCCCAGUAGUCC